AAGCCUGAUCCAGCAACGCCGCGUGAGGGAUGACGGCUUCGGGUUGUAAACCUCUUUCAGCACCGACGAAGCGCAAGUGAUGGUAGGUGCAGAAGAAGGACCGGCCAACUACGUGCCAGCAGCCGCGGUAAUACGUAGGGUCCGAGCGUUGUCCGGAAUUAUUGGGCGUAAAGGGCUCGUAGGCGGUUUGUCGCGUCGGGAGUGAAAACACCGGGCUUAACUCGGUGCUUGCUUUCGAUACGGGCAGACUUGAGGUAUGCAGGGGAGAACGGAAUUCCUGGUGUAGCGGUGAAAUGCGCAGAUAUCAGGAGGAACACCGGUGGCGAAGGCGGUUCUCUGGGCAUUACCUGACGCUGAGGAGCGAAAGUGUGGGGAGCGAACAGGAUUAGAUACCCUGGUAGUCCACACCGUAAACGUUGGGCGCUAGGUGUGGGAUCCAUUCCACGGGUUCCGUGCCGUAGCUAACGCAUUAAGCGCCCCGCCUGGGGAGUACGGCCGCAAGGCUA
Molecule: ribosomal RNA, 506 nt
Filed under: uncultured Actinomycetes bacterium
Lineage: Bacteria; Bacillati; Actinomycetota; Actinomycetes
Description: bacterial SSU rRNA
Rfam family: Bacterial small subunit ribosomal RNA
Source: RNAcentral